Molecule: non-coding RNA, 104 nt
Organism: Mumia flava
Lineage: Bacteria; Bacillati; Actinomycetota; Actinomycetes; Propionibacteriales; Nocardioidaceae
Source: Rfam
AUCAAGCAUCCAGAGUCGGAUUCUCCGACGCCAACCUGCCCUCCCGGGCAAGGUGGACGCCUCCAAGGCGAUGCGGCCGAUUUACGGCAACGAAACGGGAGCAG